GAAUGUGUCUUCAGAGGUGAAAAGGGUGUUUAAAUGUCUGCCUGCCUUCUGCAUAAACACCUUAACAUGGCUCAAGAUCCGGCUCCAGAACAUCUUUCUUGCCACUCCCUCUGCCCCGUCACAGCUCCUGAAAGAGGCCAUUCAUCCUUCUAUUCACCCAGGCCAUCACCAAUGCUUAUUGGGCGUGCCUCGUCUUAGGCACUGAGACGAAGAGCUGAUGAAGACAGAGUUCCUCCCUCUGAACUCUUCACCGGCCUUCAGUGCUCUCCAGGUGGAGCGGGAUUCUCCAGGUUCAUUCCUCAGCCCUACCAGUCUCCCAGCCUCUGCAGAUGGGAGGGACUUGGCAGUGAGCACGUGGUAGUUGUAGGGCUGCUGUCUGGGCCAUCUUUACAUCCCUGGAGCUUCGCUUGGUGCCUGUCAUGGGGCAGGCAUGCAGGAAAUGUUUGUCGAAUAAGUGAGUAAACGGCUGAGUGAAGCAUUCUCCAUACUCUCCCUUGGCAGUCCAAUGUGAGAGCUGUACACAUUCAUUUUUUUUUCUUCACAUCACCAUUGGAGAGAGAAGCAGCAGACACAGCUGAGCUCCUGGCUUGGUGAAGGGCAUGCCAAGGGGAUGUGGGUGCUUGGAUGUUUGCCAACUGUUUUUCACUUUUGUGAGAAUCAUUAUUUACCUAUUGCUUGAUUCAGAAUCCCAGACCUAGAAGGACUUUAGAAACUUGAAGUUCAACUUUUUUACUUUAUAAGAUGAAUGACAGAGUCAAAGUGAGGAAACUCCUUGAUGAAGGACAAAGCCAGGACUUGAAUCCCAGUAUCCUACUCGCUCCUAAUUAGGUAAAGACAAUCUUUUUUCCUCAUAUUAUUUCUUUCAUCUAUGGGUGUGUGCUGUCUCACCCAACUUUUCCCAAAUCCUGCACCUUCUGGGAUUGCUGGAGAUGACAGCAGCAUCUUUUUCCUUCCUCCUUCAACUUUGCACUGUUCUCUCUUUUCUGCAUAAUGAGUCUGGGGAUAAAACACUCUGGAAACCCAAGGAAACUGGACAGAGUCCUCUACAUCCAUGGGCCACACAUGUGGCUGAAGAGAGAUGCUAUCCUGUCUCUGCCUGGAAAGGAGACCCAGCCACACACAGAGAAAUGGUCUAGCCGAGGGCUUCUGUAAAUGUUGCGAUUGGAUCCAUAGUACCUGAUGAGGGCUUUCUCAAUCCCGUAAUUGGCAAAGCCCCAACUGUGACCAGCUGACACGGUGGAGCGUGUCAGCCAGCAGAGUCCCCUGGCUCAUUACCAAUCUAUGGGAUAACGAUGACCACCAUAGUCAUAAUCAUUAUCACCUUAGGCAUGGAUGACAAAGGCACCCUAGGGACUUCUGCUUGAAAUGAGCUGCUUCUUAGCCAAACCCUAAUCUCCAGAGUGACUUUCUACAGAACUGCAGGAUCAUGAAACUGAAAAGGGCCCAUGGAGAUCAUCAGUUCUGGCUUCCCGCCUUCAGGCAGGUCUAACCUUUAUAGAAUAGUUGCUGUGGAGGAAAUUGAACCAAACUUACUUUUAUAUGUUAUUCUUGUGAUAGUAUCUCUGUUGAGCAUUCGAUUAAGAAAUGGGUUUGAUGAAUCAGAAACCUGGAGGAGAAAAGAAAAUAUUAAUGACUGGGCAUCACUCUUGCAGGACAAACAUCUCCCCGUGACAUUCACUUAUUCAUUCAUAGUUACUGAGUAUCUACCAUGAGCCAAACACAAUGACAGCUGCAAAUUCAGAGAGCAAAGCCAGAGUCCCUAUUCUCAAGGACAGCCCAGUCUAGAGAGGAAGACAGAUCCUCUUUUCUUGCCCCUGCUGGGAAGCUAUCUCUGGUUCUAGAGCAGAAGGCCAUCACAGAAACUCAGCCAAACAGUAAAUUGGAGGUGAGGUUUUCACCAGGACCAUGAAGACUUCACUUCUUCAAUCGGGUAACUUCCCAAAGAAGUAUUUUCCUACUUUAGAGAUGUGGAAGGAUUGGGAGCUGCUACUCAAGAUGAUCUUACACAUGCACUGAAUGGUUUGAGCAUCAUUCUUAUCAUUGAUUAAGGGGCUGGAUCAACGGCUGGACUUCAGGCAUGGUCAGAAGGAAAAAGGAGCCUAUAAUUGGCCAUUUCUUGGCUGGGUCAUGACCACAGCAAGGGCAUAGAUGUUUAAUAGGCAGUGUAAGGUUACAAUUCCAAAUAUGCAUUAACUGAACCCAUCAAUGAUAUCUAGCGGGGACAACGGGAGGACUUGAGGACAAUUGAUGAUGGUAAGUCAUUUGACAAAAAUAGGGCCUGAAAAAAUACAAAUUUUGGUUCUAUAUCUUUUGAAAAAUAUCACUCCUUAGUUGUCACUUAAGCCUAGGACCAAAGGCUAGCUAGCUUCCCUAAUCACUAGGCUUACUUACUAGAGCAAAGGGUAGAGUGUGGGUACAGGCAUCUGUUGUUAUCUUGCCCAGCAUAUAUUUAUUUAUCCCUCUUCCCUUGGUAACAGCACCCUUCCUUUCCUUUGAAUAACUGUGCCUACUGCAUUUCCAUAUGGCCCUGGGGGGCACCAAUCCUGGUACCCUGUUCCUGGGUAGGUUCAUGACCUUACAGGUUGGCCAGACUCAGUCUCCCAGGAAUCUGAAUUAUAGGUGGAGUGAAAUAUGAAUGGAAGGUGAAUGAAGACAAGUCAAUUUGAUGGCAGUUCUCAGAAAGAAUGAAUCGGAGAUCCCUGGUACUGACCUGAUGUUCCUGACCUUCUUGUGGUCCUUGAUUCUAUGAGUUACUUAGUGUUCUCUCAAAUAAACUAAUCCUUAAAUUAACUAGAGUGGCUUUUCCGUUUCUUAUAGUCAAAGAACACUGAGUGCUCCCUGCCAUGGUGCCCCUAAGGAGAGAAAGGCCAGUCUCUCUUUCUUUUGCUCUGUCUGUAUAUGUGUGCAUUUGUG
Molecule: long non-coding RNA, 2913 nt
Filed under: Homo sapiens (human)
Lineage: Eukaryota; Metazoa; Chordata; Mammalia; Primates; Hominidae
Description: HSALNT0242574
Source: RNAcentral